CACGCAUUCUGUUGCUUCGGCCAGAAUCAGAUUCCAAUGGUGAAUCCACUCGAUCUGCGCUUCGGCCAGAACCCGAUUCGGAUAACGAAUCCACGCAUUCUGUUGCUUCGGCCAGAAUCAGAUUCCAAAAGUGAAUCCACGCGAUCUGUUGCUUCGGCAAAGAUCCACACAGCAAAAGUCGCUCUUGAUCAGAGUAAGACUAUAAACAUGUAGUUCCGUUGGCCUGGAACUAGAUUCUGAUAAUGAAUCAGUCCCUCUGAUAAUGCAUGGACCACGCGGAGUCAUUAGUGUCGCUGUGGGCACAAUGACUAGAUUCAGGGGUGAAUCAGUCCAUCUGAUAUGGACCACACGUACUAUCUUGCUCGGGGGGGGGGAGACUGAGGCUACACGGGUGUUUGCCAUGCUCUCUUCAGGGGGGAGUACUGGUGAGACAUGCCUGAACACGUCAGUCACUCCCAGCAACGCCCUUCGACAAGAACUAGGGUUCCGUCACUUGCUGCCGGACCCCCGGAGAGUUCCACGAAUCCGGAAGGAGUGUCUACGUCAAGUACUCAAGGCAGCACCUGGGAG
This 570-nucleotide long non-coding RNA is filed under the name Zostera marina. Its description in RNAcentral is "long non-coding RNA (ZMAR_LNC004533)". Lineage: Eukaryota; Viridiplantae; Streptophyta; Magnoliopsida; Alismatales; Zosteraceae. The record is from RNAcentral.